This 253-nucleotide ribosomal RNA is filed under the name uncultured bacterium. Its description in RNAcentral is "partial 16S ribosomal RNA". It matches the Rfam family "Bacterial small subunit ribosomal RNA", at positions 524 to 776 of the family's 1533-position model. The record is from RNAcentral.
UACGGAGGGUGCGAGCGUUAAUCGGAAUUACUGGGCGUAAAGCGUGCGUAGGCGGUUCGGUCAGUCAGCCGUGAAAGCCCCGGGCUCAACCAGGGACGUGCGGUCGAUACUGCCGAACUCGAGUCCCGGAGAGGGUGGUAGAAUUCCCAGUGUAGAGGUGAAAUUCGUAGAUAUUGGGAGGAAUACCGGUGGCGAAGGCGACCGCCUGGACGGGUACUGACACUGAGGCGCGAAAGCGUGGGGAGCAAACAGG